RNAcentral lists this ribosomal RNA (482 nucleotides) under uncultured bacterium. Its description in RNAcentral is "partial 16S ribosomal RNA". It matches the Rfam family "Bacterial small subunit ribosomal RNA", at positions 30 to 507 of the family's 1533-position model. The record is from RNAcentral.
AUUGAACGCUGGCGGCAUGCUUUACACAUGCAAGUCGAACGGUAACAGGCCGCAAGGUGCUGACGAGUGGCGCGCGGGUGAGUAAUGCAUCGGAACGUGCCCAGUCGUGGGGGAUAACUACUCGAAAGAGUAGCUAAUACCGCAUACGAUCUAUGGAUGAAAGCGGGGGACCGUAAGGCCUCGCGCGAUUGGAGCGGCCGAUGUCAGAUUAGGUAGUUGGUGGGGUAAAGGCUCACCAAGCCAACGAUCUGUAGCUGGUCUGAGAGGACGACCAGCCACACUGGGACUGAGACACGGCCCAGACUCCUACGGGAGGCAGCAGUGGGGAAUUUUGGACAAUGGGCGCAAGCCUGAUCCAGCAAUGCCGCGUGCAGGAAGAAGGCCUUCGGGUUGUAAACUGCUUUUGUACGGAACGAAACGGCUCUGGUUAAUACCCGGGGCUAAUGACGGUACCGUAAGAAUAAGCACCGGCUAACUACGUG